This 459-nucleotide ribosomal RNA is filed under the name uncultured bacterium. RNAcentral describes it as "partial 16S ribosomal RNA". It matches the Rfam family "Bacterial small subunit ribosomal RNA", at positions 338 to 795 of the family's 1533-position model. The record is from RNAcentral.
CCUACGGGAGGCAGCAGUGAGGAAUAUUGGUCAAUGGCCGAGAGGCUGAACCAGCCAAGUCGCGUGAGGGAAGACGGCCCUACGGGUUGUAAACCUCUUUUGUCGGGGAGCAAAGCGAGUCACGUGUGACUCAUUGAGAGUACCCGAAGAAAAAGCAUCGGCUAACUCCGUGCCAGCAGCCGCGGUAAUACGGAGGAUGCGAGCGUUAUCCGGAUUUAUUGGGUGUAAAGGGCGUGCAGCCGGGAAGACAAGUCAGAUGUGAAAUCCCGCGGCUCAACCGCGGAACUGCAUUUGAAACUGUUUUUCUUGAGUACCGGAGAGGUCAUCGGAAUUCCUUGUGUAGCGGUGAAAUGCGUAGAUAUAAGGAAGAACACCAGUGGCGAAGGCGGAUGACUGGACGGCAACUGACGGUGAGGCGCGAAAGCGUGGGGAGCAAACAGGAUUAGAUACCCGGUAGUC